UCGAUAACGAACGAGACCUCGACCUGCUAAAUAGUUUGGUGAAUUCUCCGGGAUUCACUUACGACUUCUUAGAGGGACUAUCGGUGAUUUAGCCGACGGAAGUUCGAGGCAAUAACAGGUCUGUGAUGCCCUUAGAUGCCCUGGGCCGCACGCGCGCUACACUGAUACGUUCAUCGAGCUUACAACCUUGGUUGAGAGGCCUGGGUAAUCUUUUUAAACCGUAUCGUGCUGGGGAUAGAUUAUUGUAAUUUUUAAUCUUCAACGAGGAAUUCCUAGUAAACGCGAGUCAUCAACUCGCAUUGAUUACGUCCCUGCCCUUUGUACACACCGCCCGUCGCUAAUACCGAUUGAAUGGAUC
This 358-nucleotide ribosomal RNA is filed under the name Eukaryota sp. Its description in RNAcentral is "SSU rRNA". It matches the Rfam family "Eukaryotic small subunit ribosomal RNA", at positions 1325 to 1699 of the family's 1831-position model. The record is from RNAcentral.